Molecule: ribosomal RNA, 460 nt
Filed under: uncultured bacterium
Lineage: Bacteria
Description: partial 16S ribosomal RNA
Rfam family: Bacterial small subunit ribosomal RNA
Source: RNAcentral
CCUACGGGAGGCUGCAGUGAGGAAUAUUGGUCAAUGGACGAGAGUCUGAACCAGCCAAGUAGCGUGAAGGAUGACUGCCCUAUGGGUUGUAAACUUCUUUUAUAAAGGAAUAAAACGAGGCACGUGUGCCUUUUUGCAUGUACUUUAUGAAUAAGGAUCGGCUAACUCCGUGCCCGCAGCCGCGGUAAUACGGGGGAUCCGAGCGUUAUCCGGAUUGAUUGGGUUUAAAGGGUGCGUAGAUGGGUUGUUAAGUCAGUUGUGAAAGUUUGCGGCUCAACCGUAAAAUUGCAAUUGAUACUGGCAGUCUUGAGUACAGUUGAGGUAGGCGGAAUUCGUGGUGUAGCGGUGAAAUGCUUAGAUAUCACGAAGAACCCCGAGUGCGAAGGCAGCUUACUAAACUGUGACUGACAUUGAUGCUCGAAAGUGUGGGUAUCAAACAGGAUUAGAUACCCCGGUAGUC